This 592-nucleotide ribosomal RNA is filed under the name uncultured bacterium. Its description in RNAcentral is "bacterial SSU rRNA". It matches the Rfam family "Bacterial small subunit ribosomal RNA", at positions 102 to 681 of the family's 1533-position model. The record is from RNAcentral.
ACGGGUGAGUAACACGUAGGUAACCUGCCUAUAAGAUCGGGAUAACUAUCGGAAACGAUAGCUAAGACCGGAUAAUUGGUUUUUUCGCAUGAGAGAACUAUGAAACACGGAGCAAUCUGUGGCUUAUAGAUGGGCCUGCGGCGCAUUAGCUAGUUGGUAGGGUAAUGGCCUACCAAGGCGACGAUGCGUAGCCGACCUGAGAGGGUGACCGGCCACACUGGGACUGAGACACGGCCCAGACUCCUACGGGAGGCAGCAGUAGGGAAUCUUCCGCAAUGGACGCAAGUCUGACGGAGCAACGCCGCGUGAGUGAUGAAGGUUUUCGGAUCGUAAAGCUCUGUUGCCCUAGACGAACAGCAAGGAGAGUAACUGCUCUUUGUGUGACGGUAUAGGAGAAGAAAGCCCCGGCUAACUACGUGCCAGCAGCCGCGGUAAUACGUAGGGGGCAAGCGUUGUCCGGAAUUGUUGGGCGUAAAGCGCGCGCAGGCGGUCAAUUAAGUUGGGUGUUUAAGCCCGGGGCUCAACCCCGGUUCGCAUCCAAAACUGGUUGACUUGAGUGUAGGAGAGGAAAGUGGAAUUCCACGUGUAGCGG